This 395-nucleotide unclassified non-coding RNA is filed under the name soil metagenome. Its description in RNAcentral is "partial contains 5.8S ribosomal RNA, internal transcribed spacer 2, and large subunit ribosomal RNA". The stretch from base 1 to 122 matches the Rfam family "5.8S ribosomal RNA", at positions 35 to 154 of the family's 154-position model. The record is from RNAcentral.
GAUGAAGAACGUAGUGAAAUGCGAUACUUGGUGUGAAUUGCAGAAUCCCGUGAACCAUCGAGUCUUUGAACGCAAGUUGCGCCCGAAGCCAUUAGGCCGAGGGCACGUCUGCCUGGGCGUCACACAACGUUGCCCCCCCAAACCUUGACUUCCAAGAGGACGGGGGGCGGAUGUUGGCCUCCCGUGCGCCACGGCUCGCGGUUGGCCCAAAUGCGAGUACUCGGCGACGAGCGCCGCGGCAAUCGGUGGUUGUCCAACCCUCGGUGCCAUGCUGCGCGCGCUAGCCGCUCACUGUUACUCGACGACCCCAAUGCGUCGUAGCCACGACGCUCACAACGCGACCCCAGGUCAGGCGGGGCUACCCGCUGAGUUUAAGCAUAUCAAUAAGCGGAGGA